Molecule: ribosomal RNA, 440 nt
Filed under: uncultured bacterium
Lineage: Bacteria
Description: partial 16S ribosomal RNA
Rfam family: Bacterial small subunit ribosomal RNA
Source: RNAcentral
CCUACGGGAGGCAGCAGUAGGGAAUAUUGCUCAAUGGGGGAAACCCUGAAGCAGCAACGCCGCGUGGAGGCUGAAGGUUUUCGGAUUGUAAACUCCUUUUGUUAGAGAAGAUAAUGACGGUAUCUAACGAAUAAGCACCGGCUAACUCCGUGCCAGCAGCCGCGGUAAUACGGAGGGUGCAAGCGUUACUCGGAAUCACUGGGCGUAAAGAGCGCGUAGGCGGGAUAGCAAGUCAGAUGUGAAAUCCUAUGGGUUAACCAUAGAACUUCAUUUGAAACUGUUAUUCUAGAGUAUGGGAGAGGUAGGUGGAAUGCUUGGUGUAGGGGUAAAAUCCGUAGAGAUCAAGAGGAAUACUCAUUGCGAAGGCGACCUGCUAGAACAUAACUGACGCUGAUGCGCGAAAGCGUGGGGAGCAAACAGGAUUAGAUACCCUUGUAGUC